RNAcentral lists this ribosomal RNA (253 nucleotides) under uncultured bacterium. Its description in RNAcentral is "partial 16S ribosomal RNA". It matches the Rfam family "Bacterial small subunit ribosomal RNA", at positions 524 to 776 of the family's 1533-position model. The record is from RNAcentral.
UACGGGGGGGGCAAGCGUUGUUCGGAAUUACUGGGCGUAAAGGGCGCGUAGGCGGCCCGCUUAGUCGGACGUGAAAUCCCUCGGCUCAACCGAGGAGCUGCGUCCGAUACUGGCGGGCUCGAAUCCGGGAGAGGGAUGUGGAAUUCCAGGUGUAGCGGUGAAAUGCGUAGAGAUGUGGAGGAACACCGAUGGCGAAGGCAGCCCCCUGGGUCAAGAUUGACGCUCAUGCACGAAAGCGUGGGGAGUAAACAGG